This 405-nucleotide ribosomal RNA is filed under the name uncultured bacterium. Its description in RNAcentral is "bacterial SSU rRNA". It matches the Rfam family "Bacterial small subunit ribosomal RNA", at positions 356 to 773 of the family's 1533-position model. The record is from RNAcentral.
GGGGAAUAUUGGACAAUGGGCGAAAGCCUGAUCCAGCAACGCCGCGUGAGGGAUGACGGCCUUCGGGUUGUAAACCUCUUUCAGCAGGGACGAAGCGAAAGUGACGGUACCUGCAAAAGAAGCACCGGCCAACUACGUGCCAGCAGCCGCGGUAAUACGUAGGGUGCGAGCGUUGUCCGGAAUUAUUGGGCGUAAAGGGCUCGUAGGCGGUUUGUCACGUCGGGAGUGAAAACUCGGGGCUCAACCCCGAGCUUGCUUCCGAUACGGGCUAACUAGAGGUAUGCAGGGGAGAACGGAAUUCCUGGUGUAGCGGUGAAAUGCGCAGAUAUCAGGAGGAACACCGGUGGCGAAGGCGGUUCUCUGGGCAUUACCUGACGCUGAGGAGCGAAAGUGUGGGGAGCGAAC